AGAAAAUAUUUUCCGUGUCCCCGCCUGCAGAGUCAGUGUGCGGUUUGGGAGAAAAUGUGUCGGAUAUUUUGGGGCGGUCACGUGGGCGGGCGGGCUCCGGGAGGCCCCGGGACAGUCCCAGCCUAGAGCCGUGCCCCCCCAGGAGCCCCCCAGUACGGCGAGCCCCGGACAUUGCGACGCUCCAUCUAAGAGACCGCCUGACGCCGGGACCUCGGGGCUCCGCCGCCUCCCUUCCCCCUCCCACUCCAGCAGCUACGGCCCAGUUCCCUCAACCUGACCCAGUAUGUAGGAGCCAGUCUCUGCAGGCGGCCAGCCGACCCUCCCCUUCUCUUCCCAGCCAAGUCAGAACCAAGGCUCAGAAAUGGGAGGAAUCUCUACCCCCUUCCUCUCUUCACUCAACUCCCAAGUCCCUUCUCUGAGGCAAAAUAAGAGGAAGGCCAAGGACAACUCUCCUUGGCUGACAUGCAGCAUCAUUCCUUGGACUUUUGGAGGCCCAGUGGGCAGGCCAGGCAGGGCGGGUACGGAGCCUCCCAGGCUGGGGCAGUGGGCAUGGGCAGGGG
This 560-nucleotide small RNA is filed under the name Pongo abelii (Sumatran orangutan). RNAcentral describes it as "processed transcript". The record is from RNAcentral. Lineage: Eukaryota; Metazoa; Chordata; Mammalia; Primates; Hominidae.